CCUACGGGUUGCAGCAGUGGGGAAUAUUGCACAAUGGGCGCAAGCCUGAUGCAGCCAUGCCGCGUGUAUGAAGAAGGCCUUCGGGUUGUAAAGUACUUUCAGCGGGGAGGAAGGUGUUGAGGUUAAUAACCUCAGCAAUUGACGUUACCCGCAGAAGAAGCACCGGCUAACUCCGUGCCAGCAACCGCGGUAAUACGGAGGGUGCAAGCGUUAAUCGGAAUUACUGGGCGUAAAGCGCACGCAGGCGGUCUGUCAAGUCGGAUGUGAAAUCCCCGGGCUCAACCUGGGAACUGCAUUCGAAACUGGCAGGCUGAGUCUUGUAGAGGGGGGUAGAGUUCCAGGUGUAGCGGUGAAAUGCGUAGAGAUCUGGAGGAAUACCGGUGGCGAAGGCGGCCCCCUGGACAAAGACUGACGCUCAGGUGCGAAAGCGUGGGGAGCAAACAGGAUUAGAUACCCCCGUAGUC
Molecule: ribosomal RNA, 464 nt
Filed under: uncultured bacterium
Lineage: Bacteria
Description: bacterial SSU rRNA
Rfam family: Bacterial small subunit ribosomal RNA
Source: RNAcentral